RNAcentral lists this transfer RNA (75 nucleotides) under Pseudomonadota bacterium. Its description in RNAcentral is "Proteobacteria bacterium (marine sediment metagenome) tRNA-Thr". It matches the Rfam family "tRNA". From Rfam's summary of the family: Transfer RNA (tRNA) molecules are approximately 80 nucleotides in length. Their secondary structure includes four short double-helical elements and three loops (D, anti-codon, and T loops). Further hydrogen bonds mediate the characteristic L-shaped molecular structure. tRNAs have two regions of fundamental functional importance: the anti-codon, which is responsible for specific mRNA codon recognition, and the 3' end, to which the tRNAs corresponding amino acid is attached (by aminoacyl-tRNA synthetases). tRNAs cope with the degeneracy of the genetic code in two manners: having more than one tRNA (with a specific anti-codon) for a particular amino acid; and 'wobble' base-pairing, i.e. permitting non-standard base-pairing at the 3rd anti-codon position. Lineage: Bacteria; Pseudomonadati; Pseudomonadota. RNAcentral also lists the same sequence under 1 other name. The record is from RNAcentral.
GCCUCCGUAGCUCAACGGUAGAGCAACUGAUUUGUAAUCAGUAGGUUGGCGGUUCGAAUCCGUCCGGGGGCUCCA